CGCAACGGUAAGCGAGUGCGGAUUUGCCAGUAUGCCACUGUGAGCGAUCAUGGGAAGGCGGCAAAUCAAGACUUGCGAGCCCGGAGACCGGCCCCGGAGCAAAGGAACAG
Molecule: non-coding RNA, 110 nt
Filed under: Pseudomonadales bacterium
Lineage: Bacteria; Pseudomonadati; Pseudomonadota; Gammaproteobacteria; Pseudomonadales
Source: RNAcentral